CAUUUUGGACAAUGUACUCUCGUGUCUCUCAAUGCGGCUUCACCGCCCAAGUUACUACAGUUCUUCCUUUAGAAUCUCAUUUUCCCUGGUUUCACAAGACUUGGUCUUGUAAGUGAGCAUAAUCUUCCGCAAUAACACAGACACACUUUUGUGGAAAUCACCCAACUUUUUUAUGCUUCUCUUAUAUUAGAAACUUUUUCCUUUCACAUCAAUUCUCCUAGAUAUUUUCCAAUCUUAUUUUAUGACGCUAUGGACAUUGAUACGCAGCAAAGUGUUGAGAUACAAGAAUAAGGCACAUGAGAUGCGCCACCACCAUGCAGGACCACCACCGAGAUCGAAACAUUUCUUCAUAUUUUCUGAUACACGUGGGUAGCUUUUAUUGUUCCUGAGCUAUAGAAAUAAAAUGCGGAAUAAAACGACGACGAGAUAUCUGCACGGAACAAUCUCACCGUUUGGCAAUCACUGGAUGAAAAUUACUUUAUUUCCUGCCGCCCACGAUAUCGUCGACCCCACUCCGUUACUUCACACCUUGCUGUUCACUCUAUACUGCUGUAAGGUACAUAAGGAUAUGAAAUGGACCAUGUUCCAUGCCCCAUCAGAUUUGUGGGUCAUCGCCUAGGUCAGCCUCAUAAAGUUUGGACCCAUUAGUUUAGUGGAAGCAACAGUAGACUGGCGACGGAACUGAGGGGCCCUACCUACCAGUCUAUAUGCACAUAUUAUAUGUAUGGGCACACGUAUCGUAUGUAUAUAUAAAUCGAUUAAUGAAAUGUGCUUUCUCUCUGCCUCUCCAUCAUCAAAUCGAAUGGGGAAGGAUAAGGAGAGAAAAUGCGAAAAUGCCGUAGCAAUUUAGAGACGCCUUGGCUCAUUAAUUAUAAUGAUUACUUCCUACAAAUGCCCGUUAUCUGCACUCCUCUACUCAACACUCAACACAUAGUCUUAUCAAAUCCUCAGUCUAUUGAUUUACCCUCCAGAGAAGCGGUUUAUGGUGUAGUUGGUCGUCGUCGUCGCCGUUGUAUCGAGACCUGCCUGCCACCACCACUAAUAAUAAUGUGAAUCAGCUCCUACAUACACAAGUUUAGCAAAACCAAAAACAGAGCAGUCGGGACAAAAAACAUUUUCUCCUCCUGAACGAGAGUUUGCCUUCACUUUCUCCAACUUCUUUCCUUCGUGGUAUGUGUAGUGUAGGUUUCAUGCCCAUAAACGAGCGGGGGUGAGACCCCAUUAAAUUGCGAUGUGAAUAGAAAUUUGCCAAAUUAUUAUGCUUUCCAAUGUUGCCAUUUUACUACCUGUACGGCCUACAAAUAACAAAUAUCGCGUUACUCGCUGAUCAAAACCAACUUCCUUCUCCGAAAUUGAACUAAAUACAAGUUUGUUUGUUUCCAAAGUCAGGCUCUGCUGAAUAUACUGAUAAGUAAAGUCUGCAUGCUAUGCGUACAUAGAUGUGCUCAUUAUUUAUUAUUGUCAGACUUUCUCCGUUGAUAUGCCAUGUUUACAAUCAUUAUGUGAGUGGAGGGAAAUGCGAAAAUGCUCUCUUGCGAUAGAUUCAAAUCGGACAAAUGUUGAGCUCCAUGUCGGGUGGGGGGUGAAAGUGAAGUCAACUGUUGAGAUUACUUUGGACCAGUCAGCGAUACUGUAACAUUGUAUUGAAGCACAUUAUGGUAGAAUUCUCGUUGAGAGAAAUCACUGACAACAAAAAGUUUAUGCGCUCUGGGUAGUCAUUUAUUGUUAGUUAAUUAUUGAACAAUUGAAAGUCCAAAAUAUGGCAAUGAGUCAUGGCAUGUUUUUACAAAACGGACUAAUUUUAAAAUCAUAAUGUGAUCUUUAUUAAUAUUGUUUCAUUGUCACAUUAAACAGUAUAAAUACGUAUUACUAGCGUAGAAAUAUGUUAAUUAUAGAUGAGUGCACAUAUUAGAAACAUUUAUAAAAGUGUUUCGACAAAAUUAUUCCGUAUUAUCAAGUAGUUGCACUAUUUUAUCGAUUAUAUACUUAACAUUUAUACAUAUGUACAGGAUCAUAUCUACAACCUCUCAACAAAUUAAGAGACCAAAAUCAUUGCACAUUUAUAUGUAUUUUACAUACAUGUUUUUAUUAGUAGUAUAUAUUUAGCUAUGUAGUGAAAUAUGUGUCGACCACUGUCGCCUAAAAUUAACCAGAAAUAAUGAUCAAGUAAGAUUAGUGGAACUCGCAGUAUAGAGCUACUAAUAUCUGUCUAAUAAAUUUAGAA
Molecule: long non-coding RNA, 2224 nt
Organism: Folsomia candida
Lineage: Eukaryota; Metazoa; Arthropoda; Collembola; Entomobryomorpha; Isotomidae
Exons: 2
Source: RefSeq, a predicted model, not a curated record